CGUCUCAUGAAAGGUCCUCUAGGAUCCAUAGGCAUUAAGGGAGGUCUGAGGGGAGGGAAGGGUGGAGGAGCAAACCCUGAGCUGACUGCUUCACUUUCAGAGGCCAGUGGCUGAUCAGGCAGUGAGUCCUAAAGACUAGAAUGAUCUUUCAUCCCAUUUCCGCUUGGUUCUGUCCGUGGGCUAUUUUCUGAAGAUGUUUGUCCAUCUGUAUGCAAAGUUAAACAAGUUAUUCAACAUUGACCUCCACCUCCCCACCACCAGCAUUUUGUCUUAAAUCAGAAGAUACAGGCAA
Oxyura jamaicensis (ruddy duck) is the source of this 292-nucleotide long non-coding RNA. RefSeq lists it as uncharacterized. The transcript is spliced from 2 exons. The record is from RefSeq and is a predicted model, not a curated record. NCBI's taxonomy places the organism in Eukaryota, Metazoa, Chordata, Aves, Anseriformes, Anatidae.